AACGCACCUUGCGCUCCUUGGUAUUCCGAGGAGCAUGCCUGUUUGAGUGUCAUUAAAUUCUCAACCUUAUCAGUUUAUUUCUGAUAGUGGCUUGGAUGUGGGGUUGCUGGCUUGGUCAGCUCCCCUUAAAUGCAUUAGCUGGUGCCCUGUGUACUUGGUGUGAUAAUUAUCUACGCCAUGGAUUAGCACUGCUUCUAACCGUCUGUUAAUUCGGACAAUAGAUGUCAAUUUGACCUCAAAUCAGGUAGGACUACCCGCUGAACUUAA
This 267-nucleotide unclassified non-coding RNA is filed under the name uncultured Agaricales. Its description in RNAcentral is "sequence contains ITS2". The stretch from base 1 to 52 matches the Rfam family "5.8S ribosomal RNA", at positions 103 to 154 of the family's 154-position model. The record is from RNAcentral. Lineage: Eukaryota; Fungi; Basidiomycota; Agaricomycetes; Agaricales.